Molecule: ribosomal RNA, 495 nt
Filed under: uncultured bacterium
Lineage: Bacteria
Description: partial 16S ribosomal RNA
Rfam family: Bacterial small subunit ribosomal RNA
Source: RNAcentral
GAUGAACGCUGGCGGCGUGCCUAAUACAUGCAAGUAGAACGCUGAAGGCGGAGCUUGCUCUUCUGGAUGAGUUGCGAACGGGUGAGUAACGCGUAGGUAACCUGCCUGGUAGCGGGGGAUAACUAUUGGAAACGAUAGCUAAUACCGCAUGACAGCAGUUAUUGCAUGGUGACUGUUGAAAAGGGGCAACUGCUGCGCUACCAGAUGGACCUGCGUUGUAUUAGCUAGUUGGUGAGGUAACUGCUCACCAAGGCGACGAUACAUAGCCGCCCGGAGAGGGUGAGUGGCCGCACUGAGAGGGUGACACGGCCCAGAGUCCUACGGGAGGCGGCAGGAGGGAAUCGGCAGGAAUGGGCGGAAAACUGACCGAGCAGCGCCGCGUGAGUGAGGAAGGUCGUCGGGUGGUAGAGCACUGUUGUCAGGGAGGAACCAGUUUGAGCGUGGAACGUUCAGUCUGUGACGGUAACUGACCAGAAAGCAACGGCUAACUACGUG